RNAcentral lists this ribosomal RNA (346 nucleotides) under uncultured bacterium. Its description in RNAcentral is "partial 16S ribosomal RNA". It matches the Rfam family "Bacterial small subunit ribosomal RNA", at positions 338 to 681 of the family's 1533-position model. The record is from RNAcentral.
CCUACGGGAGGCAGCAGUGAGGACUAUUGGUCAAUGGGCGCGAGCCUGAACCAGCCAAGUAGCGUGAAGGAUGACUGCCCUACGGGUUGUAAACUUCUUUUAUAAAGGAAUAAAGUGAGGAACGGGUGCCUUGGUGGAGGUACUUAAUGAAUAAGGAUCGGCAAACUCCGGGCCAGCAGCCGGGGUAAUAGGGAGGAUCCGAGCGUUAACCGGAGUUAGUGGGUUGAAAGGGAGCGGAGAGGGGUUGUUAAGUUAGUUGUGAAAGUUUUCGGCUACACCGUAAAAGUGCAAUUGAUACGGGCAUUCUUUCGUACAUUUGAGGUAGGCGGAAUUCGUGUUGUCGCGG